GCAACCAAUAUCAUAAUCUCAUAUUCAAUUAGUCAGAACAACAACUUUGUCUUUUUACUUGCCUACUAGUAUCUAUGGGGGUUCAUAGGGAUGUCUCUACUAUGCGUGAACCAUUAUUCAAUAUUGUCAACUAACCAGUCGUCCCCAUAUCUUAUCCGAUAUGAACGUCAAAAGUAUCAUCUCUCAAUACUUCAUCUGGUAUAAGUGUGAAACGGGUCGUCCUCAUACCUCAUCCGGUAUG
RNAcentral lists this long non-coding RNA (241 nucleotides) under Carica papaya (papaya). RNAcentral's name for it is "long non-coding RNA (CPAP_LNC007494)". Lineage: Eukaryota; Viridiplantae; Streptophyta; Magnoliopsida; Brassicales; Caricaceae. The record is from RNAcentral.